UCUGCAUGUGUGGCGAUGUGUUG
RNAcentral lists this non-coding RNA (23 nucleotides) under Arabidopsis thaliana (thale cress). Lineage: Eukaryota; Viridiplantae; Streptophyta; Magnoliopsida; Brassicales; Brassicaceae. The record is from RNAcentral.